GACGAACGCUGGCGGCGUGCUUAACACAUGCAAGUCGAACGAUGAAGAAAAGAAUUGAAGCUUCGGCAGAAAUUCAUUUCGGAUUAGUGGCCGACGGGUGAGUAACGCGUGAGCAACCUACCUCUUACAAAGGGAUAGCCUCGGGAAACCGGGAUUAAUACCAUAUAACAUUGCGACGAAGCAUUUCGAUGCAAUCAAAGCUACGGCGGUAAGAGAUGGGCUCGCGUCCCAUUAACCAGAUGGUGAGGUAACGGCUCACCAUAGUAACGAUGGGUAACCGGGCGGAGAGGGUGAAAGGUCACACUGGAACUGAGACACGGUCCAGACUCCUACGGGAGGCAGCAGUGGGGAAUAUUGCACAAUGGAGGGAACUCUGAUGCAGCGACGCCGGGUGAGUGAUGAAGGAAUUCGUUUCGUAAAACUCUGUUCUAUGGGAAGAAAAGGACGGUACCAUAGGAGAAAGCUCCGGCUAAAUACGUG
This 480-nucleotide ribosomal RNA is filed under the name uncultured bacterium. RNAcentral's name for it is "partial 16S ribosomal RNA". It matches the Rfam family "Bacterial small subunit ribosomal RNA", at positions 28 to 507 of the family's 1533-position model. The record is from RNAcentral.